ACUUAAAUUGAAGAGUUUGAUCAUGGCUCAGAUUGAACGCUGGCGGCAGGCCUAACACAUGCAAGUCGAGCGGUAGCACAGAGAGCUUGCUCUCGGGUGACGAGCGGCGGACGGGUGAGUAAUGUCUGGGAAACUGCCUGAUGGAGGGGGAUAACUACUGGAAACGGUAGCUAAUACCGCAUAAUGUCGCAAGACCAAAGUGGGGGACCUUCGGGCCUCAUGCCAUCAGAUGUGCCCAGAUGGGAUUAGCUAGUAGGUGGGGUAACGGCUCAC
Molecule: ribosomal RNA, 273 nt
Filed under: Klebsiella pneumoniae
Lineage: Bacteria; Pseudomonadati; Pseudomonadota; Gammaproteobacteria; Enterobacterales; Enterobacteriaceae
Description: partial 16S ribosomal RNA
Rfam family: Bacterial small subunit ribosomal RNA
Source: RNAcentral